Molecule: long non-coding RNA, 525 nt
Organism: Coffea arabica (coffee)
Lineage: Eukaryota; Viridiplantae; Streptophyta; Magnoliopsida; Gentianales; Rubiaceae
Source: RefSeq, a predicted model, not a curated record
AAUCCAUGUAUUCGAAUCAGUUGGUUUGAGACUUAACAGUCUCAACUGAAGUCUUAUAAGGAAAAUCCUUGACCGCCAGAUGAUCAAAAGCAAACACAUCAAACAAAAGAAAAGUAGAAUUGCACCAAGUAAUGCAACAUUCCUACUCCAAAAAUGAUGAUCCUCCUCAAAGCUGCAGAAAUGGCACUUCUUCAUCAAGCCUUCUUGAAGAAUUUAGAGAAUCGUAAGGAGUUCUACUUCCUUAUUACAUGGAUUUUCUGUCCGAAAUCAUGUCAUGCAUUAAAAUUCGCAGAUUCUACUGAAGUACAUUCACUUGAUUCUUGCGUUGCGAGCGCUCGUAUUUCGAGUCCCGCUGCCAGCUAAAGCAGUUUAGUUGUUGAUCUAUAAGAGCCACUGUUAGCCGCCUUGGUGCACCUCUAGCAUGCCUUGGCCUUAAAAUGAGGUGAGCAUCUACCGGAAGGCCUUCACCAAAAUCUGCCAUCCACCCCCUGACUCCAUCAUCCACCAUGCCUCGCAAAAUCUGCU